CCUACGGGUGGCAGCAGUGAGGAAUAUUGGUCAAUGGACGAGAGUCUGAACCAGCCAAGUAGCGUGAAGGAUGACUGCCCUAUGGGUUGUAAACUUCUUUUAUAUGGGAAUAAAAUGUUCCACGUGUGGGAUUUUGUAUGUACCAUAUGAAUAAGGAUCGGCUAACUCCGUGCCAGCAGCCGCGGUAAUACGGAGGAUCCGAGCGUUAUCCGGAUUUAUUGGGUUUAAAGGGAGCGUGGGUGGAUUGUUAAGUCAGUUGUGAAAGUUUGCGGCUCAACCGUAAGAUUGCAGUUGAAACUGGCAGUCUUGAGUAAGGUAGAGGUGAGCGGAAUUCGUGGUGUAGCGGUGAAAUGCUUAGAUAUCACGAAGAACUCCGAUUGCGAAGGCAGUUCACUGGACUGAAACUGACACUGAGGCUCGAAAGUGUGGGUAUCAAACAGGAUUAGAUACCCCUGUAGUC
RNAcentral lists this ribosomal RNA (460 nucleotides) under uncultured bacterium. RNAcentral's name for it is "partial 16S ribosomal RNA". It matches the Rfam family "Bacterial small subunit ribosomal RNA", at positions 338 to 795 of the family's 1533-position model. The record is from RNAcentral.